CUCAGGUUGGGGCUGGAUUUGGAGAUGGGUCUUUAAAGGAGUAAUUGAGGUUAAAUGAGGUCAUUAGGGUGAGUCCUGAUCCAGUAGGACUGG
Ceratotherium simum simum (southern white rhinoceros) is the source of this 93-nucleotide non-coding RNA. NCBI's taxonomy places the organism in Eukaryota, Metazoa, Chordata, Mammalia, Perissodactyla, Rhinocerotidae. The record is from RefSeq and is a predicted model, not a curated record.